This is a non-coding RNA of Coturnix japonica (Japanese quail), 7119 nucleotides long. The record is from RefSeq and is a predicted model, not a curated record. Lineage: Eukaryota; Metazoa; Chordata; Aves; Galliformes; Phasianidae.
UUAAAAGGGAUAGGGAUGGGGAAGGGAAGAAGGGAAGGGAAGGGGGGGGGUUGGGAGGGAGGAGAAGCAGAUGGGCUGGAGGGAGAGCUCAGACAGCGCAGCGGGAAGAGGGGCUUUGGGGGCUCCUGAACAGGCUGCCAGCUCAGCCCGUGCUGCUGGUAAUGGGGACAGGCAGGCCGCACCGCUGCGUUGGGGCAGAUCCCGCCCCGCCUCCCGGUACCGGCCCGGCCCCGCCCCGCACUCACCCGUGUAAUGAACCACGCACGUCUGGCCGCGUUUGGGGAACGUCCGCCCUGCGGGAAGAUGCGAAUCAUCAGCGGAACGGAACCGAGAGCAGCACCGGGGGGAGGAGGGGAUGGGGUAAGAGGGGGGGGAUAAAGAGAGAAGGGACGCGGGGCGCGGCUCACCGUCUCCGGGGGCGAUGGUCUCCACGUGCACGCCCAUGUCGCCGGUGCCGCCGGUGCCGGUCCGUGCGCGGCCGCAGCGCCCGCAACCCGACGGAGGAGGAGGAGGAGGAGGAGGAUGGAGGAGGGGCCACGUGUGCGCAGCCUCCGCCGCCAUCGAGCCCACCCCGCCCCCCGCCCCGCCCCACAACGCCAUCUUGCCCCGCUCCCCCCUCCCACACCGCCAUAAAAGCUCGGCUGCUCUGCGUUAAAAUGGGAUGCUGAAAAGGGCGGAUAAUGGGCUGAAGGAGACCUUAAUUGCUUCUGCUCCUUGCCUGUAUGCUUUAUAUUGAAGUGAACCGUGCAUCAUGUGGGGUUUUGUUUCCUGCUCUGAGCUAUAUCGUUAUUUCUUGCAUUAUUCUGCGGUGCUUUGUGUGCUCUGGUUCCAUCAAUAGGGGAAGUGCACGAGGCCUGGGGUGGGAGGAAAUGAAGGGAGAGGAGAUGGGGCCUGCAGGCAUCAUGGAGUCAUAGGGCAGCCCCAGCUGGAAGGGCCCUAAAAGGAUCACUGCAUCCAAUACAUGCCAUUGCUGCCCCUCACAUCCACCACGGCUGGAUCAAGGCUCAAGGUUCGCAUUAAUUCAGUGCACAACCAGAGGCUGAUUUGCUCAGAUCCUGCCAGUGUGCACCAGGCUGCAGAGCUGCAAGGUCAAGCAGCGGUCAUGCACUGCUCCAGCCCUAAAAAUAACCAGCUUCAUCGAGGCCGAGCACAGCGAUGCUGCCUGCAGCAAUGGCCAGUCCCUCCUCUCCUCCCCUCGCUGUUGCCAGGAGAGAUGUGAGGGUGCUGAGAUCCAGCUUGUACUGAUGUGUGGUUGUUCCUCCCCAGCUGUAAGACCUUAUUGAACCUCAUCAGGUUCCUCUCUGCUCAGCUCUCAUCCUACCCAGCCCUCACUGAAUGGCAGCACAACCUUCUGCUGAGUCAAACUGCAAUAUCCAGCAUCCAGGGCAUCCCUAUGGACCAGCUGGGACAAUACAAGGAACGUUUCAGCGCACCGAUGGCAAAACCUCUAUUUGACUUGGCUGCGAUUUGCUUUAGCAAACACUGUACCAAGCCUCAAGCAUCUGGCAAGCACCCAGCAGCGACCUCCAUGCAGGGGCCCAGCUCCUUCCUGCACACACACACAGGGAGCAGUGCUGGUGUGCCCUGCUUGUCCUGCCCUAUCCCUGUAGUGCAGAGCUCCGUCCCCAUCCUGCAGCAUUAACCUUGCACCGCUGGUGGAGCACGUUGGAGUAUUGUUUGUUCCAUUUCUAAAAUUACCAAAGCUUUUCUCUGGGUUUGGUGGCGGCUUUUGUUCCCUGGAUGCUCGCAGCAGGUACAGCAGAGUUCAGCACAUCUCUGCCCCUUCCAUUGGAAAGUCGGCAACAGCAGCACAAUGCAGAGCCGUGCUGUGUGUUCUGAGCCUGAGUCACACACCGUUACACACCCCCACAGUCCUGCUGAGAGCUGUGUGGGUGCAGGGCUGAGCGAGCACGUGGAGAACACGUUGCUGUGAGGAUGCAGCACCCUGGGAUGCAGACCUUACCCUGCAGUACCCUGCAGCAUGGCUCCCCUAUGCAGUGCAGCACCUUUGUGCCCACCUGGAAGCACGGCUGUGUCGUUUGGUGUCUCAUGGGGUGUUCGUUGCCCCAAGCGCUGAGUAGAGCAGGAGGAGGUUUGACAAGGGAAGGUGCAAUGAGGUUGGAAAGCAGAGUGCAUGCAGUGGUGCAGGACAACAGCUUGUGGGCUUUCUGCAGCUGCAUGGAGAAACGCAGUAUGCUGCAAACCAGGUCCAGUGCUUCAUCCCUGACCGCAGGCUGCUGUCACAUUGAUAUCUUCAGGGUAUUGGUCAGCCAAGCUCCAAACCACCCCACCAACCAUAUGGAGCCAAAUGUGGGCAUGGAGGGCAGCUGGAGCCACCAGGGAGCAAGGCAAGGUGGGGGUUCUGCUCAGUGUAGCUGCUCCUCAUCCCCAAGGGCUGCAGGAAGAACAGGAGCCCCAUUCUGGCUUCUUACCGGGGGCUGUGGAAUCCUUGUCCCCUGCUUUGCCCUCUCCUUAAUGGGUGCAAGGCACGGUGCUGCCCAUACCCAGUCACAGAGCAGGAGGCGUGGGAUGCAUUUCCCACUUUCUCUAUUAAGCAAGAUCCGUAAUUAUAAACCUCUUUCAGUUUGUGAGACCUCCCAUCGCAGCGCAGACCCCACGCAGUGUGUUUGAACCCAGUCACGAGUCAUUUGCCAUUCUGAGCCCCCUUCCACAGCCCGCGGAGCCCAGCAGUCUCCACAGCACAGCCACAAAUUGCUCUUCCAUUAGGAGCAGCAGGAGCCCAGCCGCUGCGUGGGAGCAGUUCCCAAGGCAGCAAUGCUCCCACCACGCAGCUCCCAGCAAGCAAAGGCACAAAGCAGCUGGAGGAGGCACAUGGCAAUGGGCUGACACUGAGGGGCACACGUGGUCUCAUCGCUUUGCUCCUUAAUAAAGGGCCUUUAGGUUGGAAUCCAUCACUGCAUGUCAGAGCACUGCACCGUCCUGGAGUACCUGGGAGCAUUCAACCUGUGCUGCAUCCCAGCGCUGUUUAAAGUGCGUCAUGUCCUGCUCAACAUCCCCUCGGCCAUUGGGGGUUAAUGAAGAAAUCCUGCAUUUCUCAGGCUGAGUCAGAACGCGGUUCAGGAGCCGCAGCACAACUGAGUCAGCAGCAGCAUCUCUUUGCACUGCGAUUUUACUGACAUCUCCCAUCACAAAUAUCGCUCACACUGGACCGCAGCCAGCUCAGUGGGAACCAAAUCCUUGUUGUCUCCCACCGGCAUAUCUAAGCACGUAUCUCCAUAAAGAAGCAAAAUACAUCUCUCUGCACCCAAGACGAAAGGGGAAGCUCAGAAGGAAACAUAAAACCUUGGGUUUCAGUUUUUUUCUGGGUCAUUUUGUACCCACUCAGCUCGCUGUGCUGCACUUGGCCAGGCACGAAGCACCUUUUGAGACUGCACUCAGCAUUCAGCCCUCCGGCUCUUUGGCACUCAUUUACUCUCCAGGUACAAAUAGCUGCAUUUUCUGUGGAUGCACUAGAAAAUCAACAGAUGACCAACAGCCACUUCCCAAAGCAGCUGUAUCUAUUGCUCCACGGCUGACUCAGAGCACGAUUCUCUCCAGCGCAGGAAAAGCUUUUAUUUGUUCUCUGCUCACCUCCUCCUCAAACCCUUUUAUUUUGCACUGCCUCGUUCAAGCAGCCAACGUUCCCCAUGAGGUCUAGACAGGAUGUCCCGAUGGCUGCAGCAGCGCGGGGAGCGCACAUCCUGCUCUGUGUGAGCUCAGCCUGCUGCCAGGGGGACGGCUGGCAGCCAACUGCUAAAGCAGGAUGGCAACGAGCUUUCUAAGAACGCUGCACAAGAUCUAACCAAAGCAGCACAUUGAGGAGCAAGAGGACGAUGCUUCUUCUGUCUCUAUGCUGAUCUUAUGCUAACGGUUGCUUAGGAAUAGGUAGGAAGAGAACGCAGCAGUGCUGUGCCUAUCCCCAUUAUUCUGUUCUGUGAAUGCUCUUUGCAAAAGGCUCAUAGAAACCAAAGCUCUGCAGGCUAAGAAACAAUGUCAUGUUGGAAAUUACCACAAAGGAAAGUUCCUUUCCUGAGAACCCCAUUCCCUGCUGCAGAAACACAAGGUCUUAUCUCUCAAAGCAGCCCAAGGCCCAGGAAUGCUUCAAGCAGCUCCAGUGCGAGCCAUCAGCUUCCUGCAGGGCACUAUGGCCAACAGAGGAAGGCAGCCCCACUGAAAUAACAUGCAAAGCCUGCAGUUGGGAAUUCUUUGGCAGGGAAGUCGAUGGCAGCAGUUGGAUGCGUUCCACUGACAAGUGCUCUGUGUGUGUCAUCCCCCCCCACAGCUGCUCACCCCAUUGCACAGCUGCUCUUCUGGGGGGUACAGAGCUGCAGCCAUCACCACGUGACACUGGACAGGAGAAGGGCUGCUGCCUCUGUAAGCCAGCAGACGUUAAUGUCGUGAAGGAUAAUGAAAGAUACCAGAAUAAAUAAGAAUAUGGAAUCUAUUGAGGUUGGAAAUGGCCUCUCAGAUCCCCCCCCAGCCAACCUCUCUGUGCCCACUGUCCCUCAGUGCCACAUCUCCACAGUUCUGGAGCUCACCUGGAUGGUGCCAUGUGUUUGAGGUACAAGCACCAGUGUGAACACUCAGGCUGGUAGGAAAAGUAACCUCAUUGUGCUAUGAAAUCUGCCCUUUGAAAUCCCUGAACUCCAGCAGUAAGCAUUCUGGCUCACCAACAGACAGACCGUUUGCAGGCAGUAUGGGAUUACACCAUCUCUCUUUCCAAACUCAGCAAUGAGACACAGGCCUGCUGCUGCCCCAAGGCAGGUAUCACAGCCUUCCCCCAUGGCAGUGGGCUUUAAAGAAAGCCCUUUACAUCACCCUUUAUGUGACUGCAGCACCAAUCCCCUAAGCCUGUUCUCCACGGUAACUACAUUCAAGAAACAUCAGCUCAAGGUCCUUGUUCUUGAUAACAAAGGAUGGAAAGCAGCGCUGCUUUCAAAGGAAAGCAUGUCCCAAUUGAACAUCUGAAAUCAGCCCAGGAGCACCUGACAUCCUUUUAAUCACAGCUCCAAAUAAACGCAGCUGUGAAUGGUUCAACCACACAAGGCAGGAACACAGCAGUACCUGCACCUAGAUAUGGGUAUGCCUACAGCAGAGCAAUCCCUGAGCACAACCUCUGGGUCUGCUCCACAUUUCCUGCCAGGAAACACCCGAGAGUGAACUCAGUGUUGCUGUAGGCAGGCAGAGUUCCUAGGAAGUUGUACAAAAGGGCUUCGGAGGGGAAAUGCAGUCAGAAGGCAUUAAUGUGGGACUUGGCAACGCAGACACGUGGAAAGGAAGAGGAGGAAACAACAAACUACGUAGGAUGGGGAAGAACAAAACAGAAGGAAGUGCUACCGAUAGCGGUGUGGGGAAGGGAAAGUUGCUGAAACACAGUGUUCUGCAGAAAACUCAGUUACAGAGAAGAAGCUACAGUCAGAGCACAGUCAUAAAGCUGAGCUGCAACUUACAUGGCAAUUGAAAAGAAGCAAAUUUUCAUGUGAAAUGCACAGCUCUGCCUCAACAGCAGCACUGCCACCAUCUGGCCCCGGGGGAAAAGGCUCCGAUGGGCUGGGAGCCCUCUGGGGAGCUGCACGUUGGAUGUUCGGACCAGUUUCUUCUCCAGAAAGAACACAGAACAGCCCCAAGGCUUGUAAUCUCAUGUAGCUGAAGGCAUCUCCGCGCUGGGAAGGCUGCUAGAUGGGAAACCCAAAGCUGUGAGAGUAGAUGGCAGCACACACGUCACCCAAAACAAGAACAGAUGGUAGCCAUCGUUAGAAAGGGUCAGAUGCUGUUUUCCUGUUUUCUGGGCCUUUAAUGGUUGUUUUCAUAAUAGUUUACAAAUAUGUUGUUACUCACGCUAUGUGUCCACUUAGUAAUGAAAAAAUCUACGUUAAUUCAACUUGUAUAGAAAAGCCCUUGCUGAGCUCUGCUGCCUGCAGUUCUGCAUUAGUACACCCAGCCAAGCGAGUUCCUCGUGCUCAACCUGCCCAACCUGCCAGCCCUCCUGCUGCAAUGCACCCAGAGCUCGCUCUGCUCACAGCAACGUGAGGACAGCAACCACACAGCUCCCAGCUGAGAGGCAGGGGAUGAACAGGACCGCACCACAGCUGCAAUCCUUUUCCAAAGGAUAAUGCAGAUCCCAGCUAGCUGUUAUCUAAAUGCUUACAGCCUUCUAACGUUCUGCUCCAAAGCACAGGCCUGGGAUAGAAAGCGUGUUACAGAGCAGCGAGAAGUGCCACGGCACAACACUAGAUGGCAACUUGCACACGCAAUGCUGUACCAGCACUACCAGACCCUCGUCCAUGAGCAGUGAAUUCACCCACAGCAUUCUGUCCAAAGGAAAGAAAUGGAGACCUGAGUCCAAAAGAGUGGACAGACUGAAGCUGAAGCAUUCCAGGCAUUCAGCUACAUGAUCCUCAGCAAAGGGAAUAAAUCAAGGGGUACUACAGCUGAGAGUUCUUCACCUGAACUCAAUAACUCAUCUUAAAAUCAAAUCUGCUUUCCAGUAAAAUACUGUUUGCCUUGUAGCUUCAGCCAUUUCAAGCUGAUUCAGCUUCGUGCCUUCCUUAGAACAAAAAAUCAGCAGGAAGUUGAGUUUCUCAAACAAACGCAAUACAGCACAUUAAAACUGCAGUCAGUCAGUCUGGACUGAAGGAGAAAGUGCUGGCAGAGCAGGUGGGAACUGUAACAAACACCGUAAGUGUUGCGCUGAAGGAACAGAGUCAGGACUUUCCCUCCAGCAGUGCAAACCUUUGCACCUGCACACACACUGAUCAGUUUCCCACACGCUGAGCAGCAACUGUUUCACAACCAUUUCCCUGACAGCACUUUUAUAGCAGCGUUAACCAUUAUCCUGACAAGCAACGUCAUCCGUUCUUGUACAUUUAUAUUUGAUGUGCAAAAAAAAAAGAGAGGGGAGAGUAACAGACUGCAAAGAGCAUCUGAAUGGCACAGAGGGAAAAUGGGAACUCCCUCCUUACCUUCUUCCCCUCUAAAGAGCACAGAAAGACAUUCCACAAAGGUAACUGAACUCUCCUGGGAGAAUCUGUGGCUCAAUAGGUUGCAUCUCCUUUGAAAACAGGUUCGUUUCCUUUAUUUAUUUUAAAGUCCACUGAUCAUCACCAAAAAAAAAAAAAA